GUAUACAGCCAUAUCUCCCUGAACUUGCCUGGUCUCAUCUAUCACAGAAGCUAAGCAGGGUCAAGCUGGUUCGUACUUGCAUGGGAGUAAACUUAAUCUACUGCAUGUA
Molecule: ribosomal RNA, 109 nt
Filed under: Carlito syrichta (Philippine tarsier)
Lineage: Eukaryota; Metazoa; Chordata; Mammalia; Primates; Tarsiidae
Source: RNAcentral